RNAcentral lists this ribosomal RNA (434 nucleotides) under Listeria monocytogenes. Its description in RNAcentral is "bacterial SSU rRNA". It matches the Rfam family "Bacterial small subunit ribosomal RNA", at positions 1 to 423 of the family's 1533-position model. Lineage: Bacteria; Bacillati; Bacillota; Bacilli; Caryophanales; Listeriaceae. The record is from RNAcentral.
UUUAAAGAGAGUUUGAUCCUGGCUCAGGACGAACGCUGGCGGCGUGCCUAAUACAUGCAAGUCGAACGAACGGAGGAAGAGCUUGCUCUUCCAAAGUUAGUGGCGGACGGGUGAGUAACACGUGGGCAACCUGCCUGUAAGUUGGGGAUAACUCCGGGAAACCGGGGCUAAUACCGAAUGAUAGAAUGUGGCGCAUGCCACGCUUUUGAAAGAUGGUUUCGGCUAUCGCUUACAGAUGGGCCCGCGGUGCAUUAGCUAGUUGGUAGGGUAAUGGCCUACCAAGGCAACGAUGCAUAGCCGACCUGAGAGGGUGAUCGGCCACACUGGGACUGAGACACGGCCCAGACUCCUACGGGAGGCAGCAGUAGGGAAUCUUCCGCAAUGGACGAAAGUCUGACGGAGCAACGCCGCGUGUAUGAAGAAGGUUUUCGGAU